This is a small nuclear RNA of Camelus dromedarius (Arabian camel), 107 nucleotides long. NCBI's taxonomy places the organism in Eukaryota, Metazoa, Chordata, Mammalia, Artiodactyla, Camelidae. The record is from Ensembl.
GUGCUCAAUUCGGCCACACAUAUAGUAUAAUUGGAAUGAUUCAGAGAAGAUUAACAUGGCCUAUGCACAAGGAUGACAUACCAAUUCAUGAAGCAUUUCAUAAUUUU